UGAUCCUAAAACGUUGAAGCUUAUUGUCCGCUUUAACGUAUUUUCUCCACGUAUGUGGAGG
Molecule: small RNA, 61 nt
Filed under: Lactobacillus acidophilus
Lineage: Bacteria; Bacillati; Bacillota; Bacilli; Lactobacillales; Lactobacillaceae
Description: crRNA_23
Source: RNAcentral